RNAcentral lists this ribosomal RNA (526 nucleotides) under uncultured eukaryote. RNAcentral's name for it is "SSU rRNA". It matches the Rfam family "Eukaryotic small subunit ribosomal RNA", at positions 74 to 604 of the family's 1831-position model. The record is from RNAcentral.
UUAUACGGCGAAACUGCGAAUGGCUCAUUAUAUAAGUUAUCGUUUAUUUGAUAGUGCCUUACUACUUGGAUAACCGUGGUAAUUCUAGAGCUAAUACAUGCUAAAACCCCGACUUCGGAAGGGGUGUAUUUAUUAGAUACAAAACCAAUGCCCUUCGGGGCUCUUUGGUGAUUCAUGAUAACUAUACGAAUCGCACGGCCUUGCGCCGGCGAUGGUUCAUUCAAAUUUCUUCCCUAUCAACUUUCGAUGUUUGGGUAUUGGCCAAACAUGGUUGCAACGGGUAACGGAGGGUUAGGGCUCGACCCCGGAGAAGGAGCCUGAGAAACGGCUACUACAUCCAAGGAAGGCAGCAGGCGCGCAAAUUACCCAAUCCCGACUCGGGGAGGUAGUGACAAUAAAUACUGAUACAGGGCCCUUUCGGGCCUUGUAAUUGGAAUGAGUACAAUUUAAAUCCCUUAACGAGGAACAAUUGGAGGGCAAGUCUGGUGCCAGCAGCCGCGGUAAUUCCAGCUCCAAUAGCGUAUAU